This 275-nucleotide RNase P RNA is filed under the name Clostridiaceae bacterium. RNAcentral's name for it is "partial RNase P RNA component class A". It matches the Rfam family "Bacterial RNase P class A", at positions 1 to 233 of the family's 367-position model. From Rfam's summary of the family: Ribonuclease P (RNase P) is a ubiquitous endoribonuclease, found in archaea, bacteria and eukarya as well as chloroplasts and mitochondria. Its best characterised activity is the generation of mature 5'-ends of tRNAs by cleaving the 5'-leader elements of precursor-tRNAs. Cellular RNase Ps are ribonucleoproteins. The record is from RNAcentral. Lineage: Bacteria; Bacillati; Bacillota; Clostridia; Eubacteriales; Clostridiaceae.
UGAGUAAGCCAGAUGAUUGCGUGAGCAUGCCGAAAGGCCGCUUACGAGGAAAGUCCGGGCUCCAUAGGGCAGGGUGCCGGGUAACUCCCGGUCAAGGCGACUUGAAGGAAAGUGCAACAGAAAUAAACCGCCUUUUGAAGGCUUAAUGCGGGCGAAUUACAAAUUGCACCCGUAUCAAGCUUUCAAAAGGUAAGGAUGGAAAGGUGAGGUAAGAGCUCACCGGUUCCCUGGCGACAGGGGAUGCUCUGUAAACCCCACCCGGAGCAACACCGUGA